Macrosteles quadrilineatus (aster leafhopper) is the source of this 339-nucleotide long non-coding RNA. RefSeq lists it as uncharacterized. The record is from RefSeq and is a predicted model, not a curated record. The transcript is spliced from 3 exons. NCBI's taxonomy places the organism in Eukaryota, Metazoa, Arthropoda, Insecta, Hemiptera, Cicadellidae.
UGUUUGUGUUUUCUUGUGAUUCUAUCAAACUUCCUACACUUAAUUUUGUAAAAAAGUUUCUUAAUCAAUUAUUGUAUUAUUGGCGUAAGUCUACGGUCUAAAAAAGGAUCAAAUAUAUUAUCUUACUCUUUGAAGCUGAGGGUUCAAUAAUAGAAACGAUGAGUAGGCCCAUACCUGCUAGCGAACUAGAAGGUUCAAAAGAUUCAACCCACAUCAUCUCACAAUUAGAAGAACAAAGGUCGAACUCUCCUGCCUUGAAACCAGAUUCAGCCUUAGAGUCCUGAUGUUCAAGAUCCACAGAGGCCGCUAGCUUAGCCUCAAGAGAAAAGUUUGAUCACG